CAGCAGUCGCCGCGGUAAUACGAAGGGGGCUAGCGUUGUUCGGAAUUACUGGGCGUAAAGGGCGCGUAGGCGGCCAUUCAAGUUAGAUGUGAAAGCCCUGGGCUCAACCUAGGAAUUGCAUUUGAUACUGUUUGGCUUGAGUUCGGGAGAGGUGAGUGGAAUUCCCAGUGUAGAGGUGAAAUUCGUAGAUAUUGGGAAGAACACCAGUGGCGAAGGCGGCUCACUGGACCGACACUGACGCUGAGGCGCGAAAGCGUGGGGAGCAAACAGGAUUAGAUACCCCAGUAGUCCCUGUCUCUUAUAC
RNAcentral lists this ribosomal RNA (304 nucleotides) under uncultured bacterium. RNAcentral describes it as "partial 16S ribosomal RNA". It matches the Rfam family "Bacterial small subunit ribosomal RNA", at positions 509 to 807 of the family's 1533-position model. The record is from RNAcentral.